CUACGGGUUGCUCCAGUGAGGAAUAUUGGACAAUGGGCGGAAGCCUGAUCCAGCCAUGCCGCGUGCAGGAAGACGGCCCUAUGGGUUGUAAACUGCUUUUAAACGGGAAGAAUAAGGCCUACGUGUAGGUUGAUGACGGUACCGUAAGAAUAAGGACCGGCUAACUCCGUGCCAGCAGCCGCGGUAAUACGGAGGGUCCGAGCGUUAUCCGGAAUUAUUGGGUUUAAAGGGUCCGUAGGCGGGCUAUUAAGUCAGGGGUGAAAGUUUGCAGCUCAACUGUAAAAUUGCCUUUGAUACUGGUAGUCUUGAGUUGUAUUGAAGUGGCUGGAAUAUGUAGUGUAGCGGUGAAAUGCAUAGAUAUUACAUAGAACACCGAUUGCGAAGGCAGGUCACUAAGUACACACUGACGCUGAUGGACGAAAGCGUGGGGAGCGAACAGGAUUAGAUACCCCAGUAGUC
This 459-nucleotide ribosomal RNA is filed under the name uncultured bacterium. Its description in RNAcentral is "partial 16S ribosomal RNA". It matches the Rfam family "Bacterial small subunit ribosomal RNA", at positions 339 to 795 of the family's 1533-position model. The record is from RNAcentral.